CGGUUUGUCGCGUCUGCUGUGAAAGCCCGGGGCUCAACCCCGGGUCUGCAGUGGGUACGGGCAGACUAGAGUGCAGUAGGGGAGACUGGAAUUCCUGGUGUAGCGGUGAAAUGCGCAGAUAUCAGGAGGAACACCGAUGGCGAAGGCAGGUCUCUGGGCUGUUACUGACGCUGAGGAGCGAAAGCAUGGGGAGCGAACAGGAUUAGAUACCCUGGUAGUCCAUGCCGUAAACGUUGGGCACUAUGUGUGGGGGACAUUCCACGUUCUCCGGCGCCGUAGCUAACGCAUUAAAGUGCCCCGCCUGGGGAGUACGGCCGCAAGGCUAAAACUCAAAGGAAUUGACGGGGGCCCGCACAAGCGGCGGAGCAUGCGGAUUAAUUCGAUGCAACGCGAAGAACCUUACCAAGGCUUGACAUCCACCGGACCGCACUGGAGACAGUGCUUCCCUUCGGGGCUGGUGGACAGGUGGUGCAUGGUUGUCGUCAGCUCGUGUCGUGAGAUGUUGGGUUAAGUCCCGCAACGAGCGCAACCCUCGUUCUAUGUUGCCAGCACGUGAUGGUGGGGACUCAUAGGAGACUGCCGGGGUCAACUCGGAGGAAGGUGGGGAUGACGUCAAAUCAUCAUGCCCCUUAUGUCUUGGGCUUCACGCAUGCUACAAUGGCCGGUACAAAGGGUUGCGAUACUGUGAGGUGGAGCUAAUCCCAAAAAGCCGGUCUCAGUUCGGAUUGAGGUCUGCAACUCGACCUCAUGAAGUCGGAGUCGCUAGUAAUCGCAGAUCAGCAA
RNAcentral lists this ribosomal RNA (783 nucleotides) under uncultured bacterium. RNAcentral describes it as "bacterial SSU rRNA". It matches the Rfam family "Bacterial small subunit ribosomal RNA", at positions 576 to 1355 of the family's 1533-position model. The record is from RNAcentral.